Molecule: ribosomal RNA, 498 nt
Filed under: uncultured bacterium
Lineage: Bacteria
Description: partial 16S ribosomal RNA
Rfam family: Bacterial small subunit ribosomal RNA
Source: RNAcentral
AUUGAACGCUGGCGGCAUGCCUUACACAUGCAAGUCGAACGGUAACAGGUCUUCGGAUGCUGACGAGUGGCGAACGGGUGAGUAAUACAUCGGAACGUGCCUAGUAGUGGGGGAUAACUACUCGAAAGAGUGGCUAAUACCGCAUGAGAUCUACGGAUGAAAGCAGGGGAUCGCAAGACCUUGUGCUACUAGAGCGGCCGAUGGCAGAUUAGGUAGUUGGUGGGAUAAAAGCUUACCAAGCCGACGAUCUGUAGCUGGUCUGAGAGGACGAUCAGCCACACUGGGGCUGAGAAACGGCCCAGACUCCUACGGGAGGCAGCAGUGGGGAAUUAUGGACAAUGGGCGAAAGCCUGAUCCAGCAAUGCCGCGUGCAGGAUGAAGGCCUUCAGGUUGUAAACUGCUUUUGUACGGAACGAAAAGCCCCGGGUUAAUACCCUGGGGUCAUGACGGUACCGUAAGAAUAAGCACCGGCUAACUACGUGCCAGCCGCCGCCGUAA